UACGUAGGGGGCGAGCGUUGUCCGGAUUUAUUGGGCGUAAAGAGCUCGUAGGCGGUUCGGCAAGUCAGAUGUAAAAACUCCAGGCUCAACCUGGAGAGGCCAUCUGAUACUGCCGUGACUAGAGUCCGGUAGAGGAGCACGGAAUUCCUGGUGUAGCGGUGAAAUGCGCAGAUAUCAGGAGGAACACCAGCGGCGAAGGCGGUGCUCUGGGCCGGAACUGACGCUGAGGAGCGAAAGCGUGGGGAGCGAACAGG
RNAcentral lists this ribosomal RNA (254 nucleotides) under uncultured bacterium. Its description in RNAcentral is "partial 16S ribosomal RNA". It matches the Rfam family "Bacterial small subunit ribosomal RNA", at positions 524 to 776 of the family's 1533-position model. The record is from RNAcentral.